GGCAAAUCAAAGGUUUCAUCUUCGUCCCAACACUUACAAGUUUAACGUGCUAAUAGUCAAAUUACAACAAAAGAAUUGAAUAUUCAUCACAUGGAAAAUAUGAUUGCAAGAAGAGGAAUGAGAAUCAAUUUCGCAUCCUAGAAUUCCUUCAGUUGAUUUCGACUUGUCACUUACUCUUAAUAUUCAAUGCCAAGCUUUGAUUAUUUUAACUCUUGAUAUCUAUUGUCUUGAAUAUCUUCUUAGCCUUCUUCACGUUCUUGAAUGAAGAAUUUCUAAUCUUGCAUCCCAAAUUAAGUUAAAUCAUUGGUCAAAUUGAUUUCCAAGAGAGGACGACAAAAUCAGAAAGGAAACAAAAUUUUUCUACCUGUAUUUGUACCAUAUAAGCCUUGCAAUUGCAAGGGCAAUUGCCCUGUUCAAACCAUUGAUCUUUCUCAUUAUGUCAAGUUAGUCUCCAUUCUCUGAAAUAUGCACAAAAUACAUCAUUUUCACCUGGUUUUCGUUCAUUUUCUUCGAAAGCUCGUCAAAAUUCAAUUUUUUCGAAACAAUCAAUGUUUACAUGAGAUUAAAUGCUUUAGAUGUGUACACGUAAAUAUUUUGCUUGUACACAUAAUUCAAUUGAAAAUCUUAAAAAUGUUGUUUGUUAAAUAUUUUCCAUCAUAUAGCUGAGCAAUACCUUUUACUUGUGCACUUACGAGCUGCUAGCUUAGAAUGCAAAAAUGUUGAUAAUAUUCAAGUUUCUUCCAUUUUCGCUUUACAAAAUCGUGCCCAAAAAUAGGAGGUGGUUCAUUCAAGCUAAUGAGGAGCAACUAUUGAAUGACGUGCUAUGGACAGUGGCGAAUUCAAAAUGGAAGUCAGUUAGGGUGAUAGUUGACUGUCAAUGCUCCGUUAACCUUCAACAAUCAAUGAAUGUAAUAUUAUUAAUAUUUAAUUAAAUAAUAUUAGAAAUUCUUCAAUUUAUAUGCAAACGCACAAAAAUGUAAAAACUAUAUACAUAUUAAAAUAUAAUUCGAUGGAGGUUAGAGGAUCAAUAUGCGUAGUCUCUUAUCAGAACAUGUCACGAUCAGUUUAAUAUUAAAAUUAAUUAAACGGGCAUUAUAUAUUAGCAAAAUCAAUUGUUCCGAUUAAAAAAUCAAACUUGUACAAAUUACUUAUAAUUUGCAAAAUUUCCCAAUAAUCGUUUAGGUAGGAACUAGGCAGGGUUUUCUUUGAAUUAUUUAUCACAAAUCAUAGUCAUGACUCAUAAAUGAUAAAUCAAAAAAUGAAUUAAAAGAACCAAAAAAAAAAAGUAAAGGGAGGCAAAGGCUCACCUCUCACGAGUCACUAAGAUCAGAGAUGCUAGGCGUUGGAAGUGACUCGAUGGUAGGCGACAGUAGUAAAGGCAAGGGACUGAGUGGUGACUAGCGAGUGCAUAGGCAACGGGAGAGAAAGCUCAAUAGGGUUUGCCUUUCGUGAAUUUGGAAUUAUUGGGGUAGGAAUUU
This 1478-nucleotide long non-coding RNA is filed under the name Olea europaea (common olive). RNAcentral's name for it is "long non-coding RNA (OEUR_LNC005391)". The record is from RNAcentral. Lineage: Eukaryota; Viridiplantae; Streptophyta; Magnoliopsida; Lamiales; Oleaceae.